CCUACGGGUGGCAGCAGUGGGGAAUAUUGCGCAAUGGGCGAAAGCCUGACGCAGCGACGCCGCGUGAGGGAUGAAUGUCCUCGGAUCGUAAACCUCUGUCAGCAGGGAAGAACGGUCACUGUGCUAAUCAGCAGUGAAUUGACGGUACCUGCAAAGGAAGCACCGGCUAACUCCGUGCCAGCAGCCGCGGUAAUACGGAGGGUGCGAGCGUUAAUCGGAAUUACUGGGCGUAAAGCGCUCGUAGGCGGUAUGUCAAGUCAAGGGUGAAAUCCCGGCGCUCAACGUGGGAACUGCCUUUGAAACUGGCAGACUGGAGUGUGUGAGAGGAUAGUGGAAUUCCAGGUGUAGGAGUGAAAUCCGUAGAUAUCUGGAGGAACAUCAGUGGCGAAGGCGACUAUCUGGCACAUAACUGACGCUGAGGAGCGAAAGCGUGGGUAGCAAACAGGAUUAGAUACCCGAGUAGUC
This 465-nucleotide ribosomal RNA is filed under the name uncultured bacterium. RNAcentral's name for it is "partial 16S ribosomal RNA". It matches the Rfam family "Bacterial small subunit ribosomal RNA", at positions 338 to 795 of the family's 1533-position model. The record is from RNAcentral.